UAGACCUUCAGUGUGUGACAGGUUAGUACAGUGGUGAACCUAUAGACCUUCAGUGUGUGACAGGUUAGUACAGUGGUGAACCUAUAGGUCUUCAGUGUGUGACAGGUUAGUACAGUGGUGAACCUAUAGGACUUCAGUGUGUGACAGGUUAGUACAGUGGUGAACCUAUAGACCUUCAGUGUGUGACAGGUCAGUACAGUGGUGAACCUAUAGGACUUCAGUGUGUGACAGGUUGGUAUUUCUGAAAGGACAGCAACUGCAAUAACAUCACACUCAUGUAGGAGGGUGGACUUUUUUAUAAAACACAAAGGGCCGGUGGUGUAGGGAAGGCUAUACACGGGUAUAAACUGUAUAUACACUUUUUUUCAGUGGGCAUUGCGUAUACUGACUUCUUAAUCCCUACUGAUGCGUAUCCUAGCAGUGUAGUGGAGGUAUACGUCUUAUCAAUUACAUAGUACAAUAGAGAAAUCAUGCACAAAGUAGCCCACACAAUCGCAAAGUACAUGAAAUAUAUUCACAUGCGCACAGCACACACAGCCUAGUUUUAGCGGAAUAUUAUCUGCUGGCAGCAAAAGUGUGCAGCUCUCAAGGUGUUUUGGCAUGGAGCAGCUCACAGAACAAUGCCAUCGGUAGCCGGUAGGGUAGGUAAGACGUUUCAACUUUCUACUAGUAAAUGAUAACUAAGGCAACAAUGGGUAUGCAAACCAGGUAUUGAAAAAAGUUUAAUCCACAGUGUUGGUUAGUAGGCUAGACAUGGAUGAGCCUGGGUGGACUAAGGCCCACCCAAUGGGGAGCCAGGCCCUGACAGGCCCACCCAAUCAGAUUGAUGUGGUUGAAGCAUUGUUGUGGACUUAGAACAUCACAUUUUAGUAUAUUUUCAUUUUUUUUUAAAUAGGUGUGAUUUUGAGAGUGAAAAUCUGCUAAAUCUAUGGGAAACUCAUUUAACGUGGGAAACAGGGUUUUUCACACAGGUGCCUUUCCUUCGCUAGGCGUGCCGUUUGGGAACUUUUUUAGCUAAAUGUGAGUAUUCCCACUUCUCCAGGCACCACCACACCACUGCAUAGGGCUGAUGGAAGGACAGCAGUCACACACAGCAUGACGUUAAAGUAUAAGUAGUCAAUAAACUCGGACAUAAUAAAACAUUAGUUCCCCAUCAUAAGAAUACAAAAACACAACCAUUAAGCAUUUCCCAAUCAAAAUUGACAACUAUUACCUCCCAUUGCCAAAAACAUUUCACGUUUAGCACCGUUGACCUAAAGUGUAAAGUGGAACUGGCAGCGUUUUAACUACUUUGCAGAUAUAAAACAAACAGACAAUCAUAAUAUCAGUCAAAAAUAGUUUAUGCUACAAAACCAACUUCAUAUGAUAUUUUUAAAAUAGUUUAAAUUUGACUCAACGUUCCAUGACAUAGAGUAAGGCAUUGUUGGCAGAAUAGAUGGAUGCAGUUCAAUGCAUGAUUAAUAUAAUUCACCAAUACAUUUCUUGGUAGUCCAAAACAUAUUGCUGUCAGGUUGUAAAUCACAGCUGGCCUGGUACAUUGUUCGCUCCAACCCCCGCCCCUUUCCCACCGCACCGCCCCCAAUUCGGGAUGCACUGUUUCAAUUUCAAAGACUCAGUAUUCUGGACAAAAAUGGACGAAUGUAACUCUGUGAAUGUCAAUACAAUCAAACUAGCAAGGGCAAUGGUCACAAGUCAGUCAUUACGUGGCUAAUAGGCUAGCAUAUCUAUGUAUGUAGCAGGCUAAAAACACGGAAGCUAGAUAGCUAGCUGCUAGCGGGAUGUCAUGCCAUUGAAGGAGUGGGUAAGUGACUGACUUUUUCCCCCUCAUAUCGGUGGCUAUACACAGCUAGAGAUGCAGGUGUCAUUUGGUUAGCUAGCAAGAACUUGAAUGAGUGUUACCCAGUUAGCAUAUCUCUUGCGUUCACAAAUUCACUCUGGCUAUCUACUCCAAUAUUAGAGAGCUCUCGCCUGAGUGUGCCAGAGCGCAGAACAACUGAUGAAUUUACGAAUGCGCAACACCCGCUGAAUAUGACCAGUAUCAGUAAAUGUAGACAAAAAAAGUAAGAGUUAGUCAAGAACGCUCUAGAUAAAAUGUAAAAAGCCUAACUAGCUCUGCUACUGUGAGUAAAAUGGUCAGAGUGAGGUGUUCUCUCAUUUGUGUUUGGAAGUAGCUAGCUAUCAAGCUAGCCAACUUUAACCAGUUAGCUUUGGUGCUUGGUUGGGACAAGCAUGCAUUGGCAGACAAGCUGUAGAAGGACGAGGAGGCUACAAUUUUGUGGCUUUUGGUGAAUGCGUUCUAAUGAUCUAAAGUCACGCUGUUGCAACUUCCUGUAAACACACAGUCCAGUUCAAAGUGAAUGAUGGCAGGCCCAUGUGACAAAUGGCUUGUUUGUUUAAAAGGCCUACUGUAGCUCUGAUUGACUAUAGCGCACCGGUCUGUGUAGACUCCGGUCCUGGACAAGACAGAUGUUUUUAUUUACUUUUUUAUUUACUGCAUUGUCCAAAUGCACGGCCACUUUCCCACUCUAUAUUGCUAUAGAAUUUUCAAAAAUGCCUUAGUAUACAUAAUUCCCAAACAUUCUAAUAAUUUAUGAAAAUGUGAUCGCUUGUCAGAAAAUGUUUUUUAAAAAGUGUCAUUCUUCCUGAGGGUGUAUGUAGAUGAACAGAUUUGAAUAAGAUGUCAUGUUGCUAAAAUGCUGUAAGCUCCACUUUAAAUGCAACAAUGUUUCACACACCCAAGUUAUUUUCAAAGAGAUGGCUAACACCACAAACACGCUGCAAUAAAAAACACAGUUCCACUCACCAGAUGAUGAUCAUUUGAAACACAGCUUCUUGUUGACAGUUAUUCUUGAAAAGAGAGAAGCUAACAAAUUAGCAAACUAGCCUCUUUGAUUACACCUGCUGCAGCUGCUGCAAACUAGCCAACAACAAAUGCUAGCUAGACUGUGGGAAAACUACUGCUCGCUAAUGCGCAGUGACCUGUUGGGCCUUCAAGAAGGCAGAAGUUUCCAUACAUUUUGGAAAAGCGGUCCCACCCAUUAAGUCAAAAUGUGAUUGGUUGAUUCCACUGUCACUCCAAUAUUUUGCCCAAAUACAGUUGAAUGGCAGAUGCCUUUAUCUAGCUUCUGAUGGACUUGCCAAUGGCUGACUUAUCCAGCUAAAUUUAUCUCCCCAGAGACCAGCAAAGAAAAUCCUGUUUGGAUCUUUUUUUCUCUUCAGUGUAAACCCUUUCCUUCAGAACAAAUCAGAACAUCAUUGAAAAUAAUAAUAUAAUUAUCAUUAUUAUUAUAUUAUUAUAAUCAUUAUUUUAUAAAUCCUUAGCCCUUGUCUAAAGGCUUAGAAGGCCCAUUGUUCCCCACUGUGUUUGGGUUAGUAAUAUUUGUAGAGCGGCUCUAUUUUCCUCAUCAUGCAUUUCUUCACUAUUCUGAAUGUCUAAAGAAUCCAAAUGUUGUUCUGAAAUAUGAACACAGAAAUACUGGACAUUUUGAACUCUUGUUAUUGUGGUGAUUUGACAAAAGUACAAUCAUGGUCUUGAAUUGGACUCGCAUUUUACUGGUCUCGGUCUUGACUCGGUCUCGGAAACCUCUUGUCACCCUCCCGGUCUCGGACACCCCCCCUUGACUCAGUGACUCGGAUUCGAUUUAUUUGCAUGAGCGAUAAACGGGAUUUCCUGCCGCUAAACUCCGCUCACAUACUCUGAAUGAGGGUUAUGGUUAGGUUAGGGGUUAGGGAAAAUAGGAUUUUGAUUUGGAAUACAUUUUUACUCCCCAAACGUCCUGAAAAGUGUGUGGUGUGGGUGUGUGUGUACAUGGUUUCCAACCUUAUCAGGAUCAUAAUGUCCUAACAAUUCACCAGAAUGGCCUGAUAAGGUAGGAAAACAAGGACAUUUCUGAAGAGUCUGGACUUUGUUAAAUGUCCUGAAUUUGCUAAAAUGCUAUUUUAGGCUUAAGGGUUAGGUUUACGUUUUGGGGUUAGGAUUUUGUGUGUGCCUGUGUGUGUGUGUUUUUGGUUUUACUAUUCUUGUGGGGACCAGAAGUCCUCACAAGGACAGUAAAACAAGGAACAUUCAGACAAGUGGAAACAUUUAGCCGAUCCAUACAAGGAAAAAGGCAUUUUCAGGGGUUAGGUUUGGGUUUAGGAUUACAUUUAGGGUUAAGGUUCAGGUUAGGUUUAAGGUUUAGGAUUACAUUUAGGGUUAGGGUUUAGGUUCAGGUUAGGUUUAAGGUUUAGGAUUACAUUUAGGGUUAGGGUUCAGGUUCAGGUUAGGUUUAAGGUUUAGGAUUACAUUUAGGAUUAGGGUUUAGUUUCAGGUUAGGUUUAAGGUUUAGGAUUACAUUUAGGGUUAGGGUUCAGGUUCAGGUUAGGUUUAGGAUUACAUUUAGGGUUAGGGUUCAGGUUCAGGUUAGGUUUAAGGUUUAGGAUUACAUUUAGGGUUAGGGUUCAGGUUCAGGUUAGGUUUAAGGUUUAGGAUUACAUUUAGGGUUAGGGUUCAGGUUAAGGUUAGGUUUAAGGUUUAGGAUUACAUUUAGGGUUAGGGUUCAGGUUCAGGUUAGGUUUAAGAGGGUUUCUGUUUGUGCUGGUAUCAAACCUUGGGUUGCACAGGCUUAUUGCAACUUUCUGCUCUUUCUGUAUAUUGCAAAUCAGUGUUAAGGUUAGGGUUAGGGUUAGGAGUUAGGGGAAAUAGGAUUUUGAGUGGGAAUCAAUGGUUUGGUCCCCACAAGCAUAGUAAAAUAAAUAGGGAGGGCUACUGUGUGCGUGGGCAGGGCUCUGUGCAUGUGUGUGUGCGUGUGUGUGCGCAUGACCCCAUUGCUCUCCCCUGUAUGUGUAUGUGUGACAUUAGCAUGAGCAAUAAGGUUUGAGUCCUCGGUGUGUGUGCUGUAUAUAUUGGUGAUCUAGCAUAUCACACUCGCCCUUUCUCUCAGAGCUGACUUACUUAUGUACCUACUUGUAUGAAAGAGAUGAUUGUUCCUCUCCUGUCCGUCCUGUCCUCUCUAACCGAAUGGCCAUUGUGAAUACUGAAUACCUUUGAUGCCAUUUUGAAACUAUCCUCCUCUCUCCACCAGAGUUGACUACUUCAUUUGUCGUGGUUUAUCGUUCAAAGCAGCACCCACAUGAUGCCUGACCUUGAAAUGGGUUUAUUGUUACUUUUAUUGAGUGUUUAUUGAGGUUUUUAUAGAUACAUUGAUGAAUUUAUCCAAACUCCAAUGUUGUGUUUUGUCUUGUUUUAUGCAGCGUGGACAUGCUAAAGCAGAUUGACUGAGGGGAGAAGAAGAGGUCUUAUAUGAACACACUGAUAUUUGAGUCCAUUCCAUUUUGAUACAAAGAUGAUUUUCUUCUGAAUAUGGGGAUAAAACUGUGAUUAGACUUUUAUUUUGAAGGUCUCUGUUCAUUUGAAGUGCAUGUUGGUUUGCUACAGACAGUAUGACGUUUGUUUUGUUUCCUGAUUUGUACCACACAAGCCUCCAUACUUUACCAACAAAUGGGGGUUUGUUAUGGAAAAUGAAAUUCAAAGUGUAAAGGAAACUCCUGUACCAGUCUACCAAACAUGAUUGACUGAAAGUGUUUAUUGAGCUGUUGGGGUUUGACGCUCUAUGAUAAUUCUGUCUUGUCGUGACUGAUAACUCAGCUAUCACCGUAGCUAGAACACUCUCAGCGCUUGGCGGGGAUGGAAUCCUGUAACCAUUCCAAAUCAGUAUAACGAAAUCAGUGCAAAUGCAUUGAAUGACACUUUAAUAUCCAGCGAGCUGAUUUAACGAUAUUCUAUUUCUCAGCUGUGAGAUCUCGGGAGGUUUAAUCGAGAACUUGUCGUUUUCCUAAUGACGAUGGAUAUUUUUCUUUACGCUUUUACGUUUUCCAAGAUGGCUGACGUCGGUGAACUGAAUGUGGCUCUUGAGACUGCUGAAGCGAAUGCCACACCCCCUGCUCCAACCCCCGCCCCUUUCCCACCGUCCCGCCCCAAACCUGUCCACUCCACCAUCACUGCUUGACUAUGAUGUGACAUAUGCAACAAUUAUUUUUUUGUUCGUAAAGAUAUUCUUUGUAUCAGAGGGAGAGAGUGUGGGAGGGGGGCAAUAGGGAAACGCAAAUACAUAUUUUUUAAAAUAUCAAAUGAUGUUGAUAAAAUUAUAACUGUCUUUUUUUUCAUGUAAAAAGAAAAAAAGAAUGACAACUGUUGCUAGUGCACAUGUGCUGUAAAUUGUUCUUUGGUGUAGUAAAAAUCAUCAUGGUUUAGUCGUUUUUAAAAAUCAUUUACACCAACGGUUCUAGUGUCUUAUUUUAGUUAGCCUUCUGCUCCACCGCAUUUUAAGAACCAGCUUAAUAUUUUUCUAAAGGGAUUCUUUGAAAAAAUGCAUGCGUUUGCUGGAGAACUUUGAGUUUAGUGUUGCACAAGGACAGGCGUUGUCUCUGCCUGCAUCCCAAAUGGCACCCUAUUCCCUAUAUAGUGCACUACUUUUGACCAGGGCACACAAGGCCAUACGGCUCUGGUCAAAAGUAGUGCACUAUAUAGGGAGUAGGUUAUCAUUUGGGACACAGCCUCUGUCUUUCAGUUUCCAUGGCUAAGUGAAAAACUUUUGGGGUGAAGGAGUGUACUUAGGUCUUGUACAUGAGAUUAUGUAAAUUGAGGAAAUUAAAAUGAUAAUUAUAUGACGAUUACUUUUGAUCUGUUACAGCUCGUGUAUUUGAAUUAUUGAAAAGAUAUUAAAAAAAUAAAAUGCAAUUGUUUAGUCCGGUGCAGUGUCUAUGAGUAAAUAGAAUAAAUCAUUGUCCUA
This is a long non-coding RNA of Oncorhynchus tshawytscha (Chinook salmon), 6770 nucleotides long. Lineage: Eukaryota; Metazoa; Chordata; Actinopteri; Salmoniformes; Salmonidae. The record is from Ensembl.